ACGCUCGACACCUACGGGAGCAGCAGUCGGGAAUAUUGCGCAAUGGAGGAAACUCUGACGCAGUGACGCCGCGUAUAGGAAGAAGGUUUUCGGAUUGUAAACUAUUGUCGUUAGGGAAGAAAAAGGACAGUACCUAAGGAGGAAGCUCCGGCUAACUACGUGCCAGCAGCCCCGGUAAUCUGAGCGGGCUGGCAAGGC
This 198-nucleotide ribosomal RNA is filed under the name uncultured bacterium. RNAcentral describes it as "partial 16S ribosomal RNA". It matches the Rfam family "Bacterial small subunit ribosomal RNA", at positions 328 to 539 of the family's 1533-position model. The record is from RNAcentral.